GGGUUGUGAGGUUAAGCGACUAAGCGUACACGGUGGAUGCCCUGGCAGUCAGAGGCGAUGAAGGGCGUGCUAAUCUGCGAUAAGCGCCGGUAAGGUGAUAUGAACCGUUAUAACCGGCGAUACCCGAAUGGGGAAACCCAGUGUGAUUCGUCACACUAUCAUUAACUGAAUCCAUAGGUUAAUGAGGCGAACCGGGGGAACUGAAACAUCUAAGUACCCCGAGGAAAAGAAAUCAACCGAGAUUCCCCCAGUAGCGGCGAGCGAACGGGGAGGAGCCCAGAGCCUGAAUCAGCAUGUGUGUUAGUGGAAGCGUCUGGA
RNAcentral lists this ribosomal RNA (318 nucleotides) under Salmonella enterica subsp. enterica serovar Durham. RNAcentral describes it as "partial 23S ribosomal RNA". It matches the Rfam family "Bacterial large subunit ribosomal RNA", at positions 1 to 314 of the family's 2925-position model. The record is from RNAcentral. Lineage: Bacteria; Pseudomonadati; Pseudomonadota; Gammaproteobacteria; Enterobacterales; Enterobacteriaceae.